UUUCCGUAGGUGAACCUGCGGAAGGAUCAUUAUUGUAUACCCGAGGUGCGAGGGCUGUCGCUGACCCGAAAGGUCGUGCACGCCCGAGUGCCCUCACACACCCCCAUCCCACCCCUUGGUGCACCACCGCGCGGGUCCCCCUUUGGCUUGGUCGGAGGGGGGCUUACGUCUUCACACAAAAUUUGUAUGCAGUGUAGAAUGUAUUUUUUGUUUUUGCGUUCACGCAAUCAAUACAACUUUCAACAACGGAUCUCUUGGCUCUC
RNAcentral lists this unclassified non-coding RNA (263 nucleotides) under plant metagenome. Its description in RNAcentral is "partial contains small subunit ribosomal RNA, internal transcribed spacer 1, and 5.8S ribosomal RNA". The record is from RNAcentral.